Daucus carota subsp. sativus is the source of this 717-nucleotide RNA transcript. It is a transcript of the gene named dormancy-associated protein homolog 3, with no coding region annotated. NCBI's taxonomy places the organism in Eukaryota, Viridiplantae, Streptophyta, Magnoliopsida, Apiales, Apiaceae. The transcript is spliced from 4 exons. The record is from RefSeq and is a predicted model, not a curated record.
UCGACUCUGCGAUAUGACCUCCCAAUAAUUCGGCGUUGAGGCUCUAAGGUACACAACAACUCCACUAUGAGCUUACUUGAUCAGCUCUGGGACGACACUGUCGCCGGUCCUCGCCCGGAUUCCGGCCUCGGAAAGCUUCGUAAACAGUCCAGCUUAGGCUUUUUAUCCGUCAACUCUGCCGACGUUAACAAGGUAUCGGACGGUGGGAAUAUGAGAUCAGGCGGGGAUACUCCGGCGAGAGUUACGCGAAGCAUAACGAUUCUGAAGCCGCCUGUAGUCGGAGAUCAGAGUGAGACGCCGCCAGCUUCGCCGGCAGGAUCUACAACUCCGAAUUCUCCGUUUUCGAGAGGAGGGUCCUUCCAAUUCCGUAGAAGGUCCGUGUUGGAAACCUAUGAGAAAGCAAGCGGAAUCGGAUUCAAGAGCCCUCGUCCUCCUUAUGACAUAUGAGAUUUCCUUAGCGGAAAUAGUCACUAGCUGUUACAUAUGUACUUUGCUUCCCUGUUCAAGAAAUGAGGAGUGCAUUGGAAUGUUAUUACUAUGUGAGUGUGUGCUUUUCGUAUGUAACGAACUGUCUGAACCUGUGAGAUGUUUUGCACUUGUUUUCCGUGUCAGUAGCGAACAAGUUCAUGGAGGCUUCUAUCCGUACCUGUAAUAUAAGUGGUUUGCAAAAUGUUCUAACGACUACUUAUCUACUACAUUUAUGUGGUGUUUGUAUUA